Molecule: transfer RNA, 103 nt
Filed under: Lentinula aciculospora
Lineage: Eukaryota; Fungi; Basidiomycota; Agaricomycetes; Agaricales; Omphalotaceae
Rfam family: tRNA
About the family: Transfer RNA (tRNA) molecules are approximately 80 nucleotides in length.
Source: Rfam by way of RNAcentral
GGUAGCGUGGCCGAGUGGUCUAAGGCGUUGGAUUUAAGCAGAAAGAAUUAUUCAGCUUCCCAAUGGAGGAAACUCCGCGCGAGUUCGAACCUCGCCGCUACCA